GCUUAAAAAACGCAUCGGCUAUUUUCUGUUUGCCAGCAAUUCGAAAUGAGUUAAAAUGUGUGCAAAAUAUGAAAUGCCAUAAAUGGCAUAUGUGCCGUGUUCCAUGGGAAAGUGUUGAGUGCAGUGCGUCUGAGGGAUCGAAAGAGGUCCAUGUGUUAAAGAUGUGUUUGCCAAAAAUAAAAAACGGAAAGUCAAGGGGGUGAUGGGUAAUACCAAAAUUGAAUUGGAUAAAAAAAUCGUUGGAUUCAAUGAGCACUCACACAGCAAAUAAAUUGUCCUGCCAUCCGAUUGCCACCCCAGGAUAUGGUAUAUUACACAACUCUCGAGGACCGUUCUCCAUUUUGGGCACAUUAGAAAUUCAGAACGCGUUGAGCACAUUAUCACUUCCCAUUGGACCGAGAUGACUUCAUUUUCAUGCCAUGUGACUUGGGAUGUCAGUGCUGUACUUGUGGUUCCACCCGCUCCCUCUUAAGUUGCUGCCAUGAUUUACUACAAGCAGAUGAUUUAAUAUAACCGCAUAUAUGGAUGUAGACACACGCACACACCCGGCCAGAGUGCACUUCAGAUGCAUUCGACUGCAUUGGAAACUGGAACCCGUUGAACAGGCCCAGAAACAGAAACGGAGGCAGACACCCCACACAUGUUGCCAGUGAAGCGGCCGUUUUGGAGGAAAAACGGGAAGACAGUUCAAGUUCCUCCAUCUUGAAAACUGACGCCC
Non-coding RNA from Drosophila suzukii, 718 nucleotides. The record is from RefSeq and is a predicted model, not a curated record. NCBI's taxonomy places the organism in Eukaryota, Metazoa, Arthropoda, Insecta, Diptera, Drosophilidae.